GAGGGUACAGCACAGCGGUGGCACACGUGCCUGGCAAGCAUGAGGUCCUGGGCUCAAUCCCCGGUACCUCCA
Molecule: transfer RNA, 72 nt
Filed under: Camelus ferus (Wild Bactrian camel)
Lineage: Eukaryota; Metazoa; Chordata; Mammalia; Artiodactyla; Camelidae
Rfam family: tRNA
About the family: Transfer RNA (tRNA) molecules are approximately 80 nucleotides in length. Their secondary structure includes four short double-helical elements and three loops (D, anti-codon, and T loops). Further hydrogen bonds mediate the characteristic L-shaped molecular structure. tRNAs have two regions of fundamental functional importance: the anti-codon, which is responsible for specific mRNA codon recognition, and the 3' end, to which the tRNAs corresponding amino acid is attached (by aminoacyl-tRNA synthetases). tRNAs cope with the degeneracy of the genetic code in two manners: having more than one tRNA (with a specific anti-codon) for a particular amino acid; and 'wobble' base-pairing, i.e. permitting non-standard base-pairing at the 3rd anti-codon position.
Source: Rfam by way of RNAcentral